AGGAGGAUUAAUACUUUAUAACAGAUUUAAUGGCAUCAUUAGAUUUUGAAAGAUUUAUCGCAGUAGGAUAGGCAUGCGUAAGAUUAGUUAGUUGGUGAGGUAACGGCUCACCAAGACGAUGAUCUUUAGGGGGCCUGAGAGGGUGAACCCCCACACUGGUACUGAGACACGGACCAGACUCCUACGGGAGGCAGCAGUGAGGAAUAUUGGACAAUGGGUGGAAGCCUGAUCCAGCCAUCCCGCGUGUAGGAUGACGGCCUUAUGGGUUGUAAACUACUUUUAUCUGGGGAUAAACCUACUUACGUGUAAGUAGCUGAAGGUACCAGAAGAAUAAGCACCGGCUAACUCCGUGCCAGCAGCCGCGGGUAAUACGGAGGGUGCAAGCGUUAUCCGGAUUUAUUGGGUUUAAAGGGGUCCGUAGGCGGGAUUAAUCAGUCAGUGGUGAAAUC
This 449-nucleotide ribosomal RNA is filed under the name Empedobacter sp. RNAcentral describes it as "bacterial SSU rRNA". It matches the Rfam family "Bacterial small subunit ribosomal RNA", at positions 156 to 601 of the family's 1533-position model. Lineage: Bacteria; Pseudomonadati; Bacteroidota; Flavobacteriia; Flavobacteriales; Weeksellaceae. The record is from RNAcentral.